RNAcentral lists this ribosomal RNA (376 nucleotides) under uncultured bacterium. RNAcentral's name for it is "bacterial SSU rRNA". It matches the Rfam family "Bacterial small subunit ribosomal RNA", at positions 521 to 896 of the family's 1533-position model. The record is from RNAcentral.
UAAGACGAACCGUGCGAACGUUGUUCGGAUUCACUGGGCUUAAAGGGCGCGUAGGCGGCGCGACAAGUCGGGGGUGAAAUCUUCCGGCCCAACCGGAAAAGGGCCCCCGAUACUGGCGUGCUGGAGGGAGGUAGGGGCGCGCGGAACUUCCGGUGGAGCGGUGAAAUGCGUAGAUAUCGGAAGGAACGCCGGUGGCGAAAGCGGCGCGCUGGACCUCACCUGACGCUGAGGCGCGAAAGCCAGGGGAGCGAACGGGAUUAGAUACCCCGGUAGUCCUGGCCCUAAACGAUGGGUACUAGGUAGUGGACUUGACAUGGGUUCACUGCCGGAGCAAAAGUGUUAAGUACCCCGCCUGGGGAGUAUGGUCGCAAGGCUG